AUUCUCCACCAUACCACCCAGAAUGGCCUGAUCUCAUCUGAUUUCAGGAACUAAAUAAGAGUCAGGCCUGGACAUGAGGCCUCCAGGAAUACCGGGGGUCUCCAGGAAGGAGAGAAAC
Molecule: ribosomal RNA, 118 nt
Organism: Pogona vitticeps (central bearded dragon)
Lineage: Eukaryota; Metazoa; Chordata; Lepidosauria; Squamata; Agamidae
Source: Ensembl